This 347-nucleotide long non-coding RNA is filed under the name Setaria viridis. RNAcentral's name for it is "long non-coding RNA (SVIR_LNC009030)". The record is from RNAcentral. Lineage: Eukaryota; Viridiplantae; Streptophyta; Magnoliopsida; Poales; Poaceae.
CGGCGCGCGCAAAGGGAGGUUCCACCGAAACAAAUCCGAAUCACCUUCCUUCUCCCUGUUGGAUUCUUCUUCUUCUUUUUUUUUUGCUUCUUUUCCUUUUUUUGUGCACUUUCCUUUUUUUUAUUGCUUUCGAUCUUUUUUUUUUGACAGGGGAGGGGCGAUCGGAGUAGUGGGAUGGCGCGGCGCGGUUGUCGCGGGGAAGGUGCGGUGGGCGCGGCUGGUAGGGUUGGCGAGCAGCGGAACGGCGGCGGCGGCGAAAACUAGGGUUAGAUGAAAAACGAGAAACAAGAGAUUAAACACAAGUAACCAGCAACAAUUGAACGAGUAGGCACACAAAUUCAACAAAG